UACGGGGGGGGCAAGCGUUGUUCGGAAUUACUGGGCGUAAAGGGCUCGUAGGUGGCCAACUAAGUCGGACGUGAAAUCCCUCGGCUUAACCGGGGAACUGCGUCCGAUACUGGUUGGCUUGAGUUUGGGAGAGGGAUGCGGAAUUCCAGGUGUAGCGGUGAAAUGCGUAGAGAUCGGGAGGAACAUCCGUGGCGAAGGCGGCCAUCUGGAUCAACACUGACGCUGAGGCACGAAAGCGUGGGGAGCAAACAGG
Molecule: ribosomal RNA, 253 nt
Filed under: uncultured bacterium
Lineage: Bacteria
Description: partial 16S ribosomal RNA
Rfam family: Bacterial small subunit ribosomal RNA
Source: RNAcentral